GCUCCUUUCCAGAGGAAGCAUCUAGAACGCAGGCCCAGGUUCUGGCUACCCCAGGGUUUGUGAUGUGUAAACAGCUUUGUUGUCCAUCCAGUCGCGUCUGUGAGUUUCAUGCGUCCCAAGUUCUGGAGGCUGGAAGUCUGUGAUCAAAGUGUCAUCAGGUUGAUUUCCGCCGAGGCCUCUCUCUGGCUUGCAGAUGCUACCCUCUCGCUGUGUCCUCGCAUGGUCGUUUCCAUGUGCGUGUGCUCAUAAAAGAUCGGCCUGGAGUGAGCCAACAACCAUAGCUAGUAUCUUCAUAGAUGUUGCCAGUGUUUGUCUGCCAGACAACUUGGUGUAGAGAAUCCCCAUGUUGAGAGCAGGGACGGUGUACCACCUUCAGACGUCUGACAGCUGUGCACAGACGUCCACUAGGUGUUUGCUGAGAGCCCAUCUGAAUACUGCCUUUUUAAGGCCUCAUAACUCCUUAGUAGCCCAGCCAGGUCCGGGUAUGUUUCCAUGAGGCCAUUCUCAUCUCCUGAAAUAGAGAGAGUGGAACAGUAAGUAUGGAAAACGUCUCUCUUUUUAAACACGGAGUGGAUGAUUGGAAACAAUGACUUAUUCAGUAAUCUAAGCAGAGUCUGUUGUCCAUGAAUCAUACCGCAUACAAAAAGGUGAGGGAAAUGUUCAGUUUGCCAUUUCUCCCUGGCCAGGGAGGAGAGCAUGGGGUGAAUCGAGGUUUUCGUGCUGACUGUCCUGGGAAGCUAACUUGGGAAGCCACAGGUGAAAACAGAGUGGGAAGUGCAUCCUCAACAGGAACGCAAUGGUCCUAAGCUCUGAGAGGCCCCAGACGCCCCUCCGCUGCUUACACGGGGGCAAAGGUCUGCAGAAGAGCUCUUGCAUGUCCCCCCCGAGAAGUUACCCAUGGAUUGGGGAAAAGACACGCGACUUCUUGGAGGGGGCGGGGAGGUAACCGGCUGCCUGAAAAGAGGAACACAAUUGCAUGCACUCGCUCCUGUGAAAGAAAUUCAUUUAAGAGCAAUUGGAUUAGAGAUGGAGAUUUACAUGGAUGAAUUUAAGGAAGAGGAUCGGGUAAGACAGUAAGGAUGUACCUCACUCAUUUGCUACAAAACUAUAAAAAGCAUUGGGGACUUACAGUGCUAAGUGGAAAAUGGGCCACUAAAUUGUAAUUAAACUAUGAUUGCAAUUAUGUAAAGUAAGUUUGCUAUGGACAAAGGCUGACCGGGGAUACAGAGAAAUUAACACAGUUAUUGUGCUAAUGUAGUGAUGUUAUUUCUUUCCCAUUGUUUGAAUUGUGUGGGUGUGAAUGUGAGGGCAGGGGUGGGGAGAGGCUAUAUAUAGAGUCCAACAGAAAGAGUUACACAGGGAAUUAGGAAGCCCGUGGUUAAGUUUCACAAGGCAUGCCAGCUGUGAACUUAACCUCCCUGAGCGUCAGUGUCCUUAUACAGAGAGUGGGAAUCAGCACCUGCCCUGCACCAUGGGGUAGUGAAAACACUUUGUAAAUCGAAAGUAUUGUAAGAGACUGUGAAAAGUCAAGACCAGAGUUCUGUGUAGAACAGAGACUUAAAAAUCCAGAACUCAAAAGUCACCUGAAUCUCUUCCCAGCAGUCACUGUGGGAGCUGGACAGCAUGUGCCAUCUCAUUUAAUUGCACAAUGUAGAAUUUACACUCACUUAUUGGGCACCUACUACUUGCUUUACCAACCAGGUUUCCCAAUACUAUUUGUAGAAUAAUCCAUUUAUCGAAAUAAUUGGAAACGCUUCCUUUA
This is a long non-coding RNA of Myotis lucifugus (little brown bat), 1762 nucleotides long. RefSeq lists it as uncharacterized. NCBI's taxonomy places the organism in Eukaryota, Metazoa, Chordata, Mammalia, Chiroptera, Vespertilionidae. The record is from RefSeq and is a predicted model, not a curated record. The transcript is spliced from 4 exons.